GUGUCAGCAGCCGCGGUAAUACGUAGGGUCCAAGCGUUAAUCGGAAUUACUGGGCGUAAAGCGUGCGCAGGCGGUUGUGCAAGACCGAUGUGAAAUCCCCGAGCUUAACUUGGGAAUUGCAUUGGUGACUGCACGGCUAGAGUGUGUCAGAGGGGGGUAGAAUUCCACGUGUAGCAGUGAAAUGCGUAGAGAUGUGGAGGAAUACCGAUGGCGAAGGCAGCCCCCUGGGAUAACACUGACGCUCUUGCACGAAAGCGUGGGGAGCAAACAGGAUUAGAUACCCCUGUAGUCC
RNAcentral lists this ribosomal RNA (292 nucleotides) under uncultured Ralstonia sp. RNAcentral's name for it is "partial 16S ribosomal RNA". It matches the Rfam family "Bacterial small subunit ribosomal RNA", at positions 505 to 796 of the family's 1533-position model. Lineage: Bacteria; Pseudomonadati; Pseudomonadota; Betaproteobacteria; Burkholderiales; Burkholderiaceae. The record is from RNAcentral.